GGUUAAGCGACUAAGCGUACACGGUGGAUGCCCUGGCAGUCAGAGGCGAUGAAGGACGUGCUAAUCUGCGAUAAGCGCCGGUAAGGUGAUAUGAACCGUUAUAACCGGCGAUUUCCGAAUGGGGAAACCCAGUGUGAUUCGUCACACUAUCAUUAACUGAAUCCAUAGGUUAAUGAGGCGAACCGGGGGAACUGAAACAUCUAAGUACCCCGAGGAAAAGAAAUCAACCGAGAUUCCCCCAGUAGCGGCGAGCGAACGGGGAGGAGCCCAGAGCCUGAAUCAGCAUGUGUGUUAGUGGAAGCGUCUGGAAAGACGCGCGAUACAGGGUGACAGCCCCGUACACAAAAGCGCAUGUGCUGUGAGCUCGAUGAGUAGGGCGGGACACGUGGUAUCCUGUCUGAAUAUGGGGGGACCAUCCUCCAAGGCUAAAUACUCCUGACUGACCGAUAGUGAACCAGUACCGUGAGGGAAAGGCGAAAAGAACCCCGGCGAGGGGAGUGAAAAAGAACCUGAAACCGUGUACGUACAAGCAGUGGGAGCCCCACCACUAAGCCAGUGGUGAACUCCACAUACGCAUCCUUUGCUGAGGAUACGGUUAACGGAGCGAAAGCGACGUUCAACCUCAAAAGAAGCAGAGGGGGCUUAGUGGUGGGGUGACUGCGUACCUUUUGUAUAAUGGGUCAGCGACUUAUAUUCUGUAGCAAGGUUAACCGAAUAGGGGAGCCGGAGGGAAACCGAGUCUUAACCGGGCGUUAAGUUGCAGGGUAUAGACCCGAAACCCGGUGAUCUAGCCAUGGGCAGGUUGAAGGUUGGGUAACACUAACUGGAGGACCGAACCGACUAAUGUUGAAAAAUUAGCGGAUGACCUGUGGCUGGGGGUGAAAGGCCAAUCAAACCGGGAGAUAGCUGGUUCUCCCCGAAAGCUAUUUAGGUAGCGCCUCGUGAACUCAUCUCCGGGGGUAGAGCACUGUUUCGGCUAGGGGGCCAUCCCGGCUUACCAACCCGAUGCAAACUGCGAAUACCGGAGAAUGUUAUCACGGGAGACACACGGCGGGUGCUAACGUCCGUCGUGAAGAGGGAAACAACCCAGACCGCCAGCUAAGGUCCCAAAGUCAUGGUUAAGUGGGAAACGAUGUGGGAAGGCCCAGACAGCCAGGAUGUUGGCUUAGAAGCAGCCAUCAUUUAAAGAAAGCGUAAUAGCUCACUGGUCGAGUCGGCCUGCGCGGAAGAUGUAACGGGGCUAAACCAUGCACCGAAGCUGCGGCAGCGAACGUAUCACCCAAGACAACUUUACGGAGUUGACGAUUGACGGAGCGAAGCGACGUCAAAGCGUUCAUUAAAGUCGAGUUGGCUUAGGGAUACGUUCGUUGGGUAGGGGAGCGUUCUGUAAGCCUGUGAAGGUGGCCUGUGAGGGUUGCUGGAGGUAUCAGAAGUGCGAAUGCUGACAUAAGUAACGAUAAUGCGGGUGAAAAACCCGCACGCCGGAAGACCAAGGGUUCCUGUCCAACGUUAAUCGGGGCAGGGUGAGUCGACCCCUAAGGCGAGGCCGAAAGGCGUAGUCGAUGGGAAACAGGUUAAUAUUCCUGUACUUGGUGUUACUGCGAAGGGGGGACGGAGAAGGCUAUGUUAGCCGGGCGACGGUUGUCCCGGUUUAAGCAUGUAGGCGGAGGUUCCAGGUAAAUCCGGUACCUUAUUAACGCUGAGGUGUGAUGACGAGGCACUACGGUGCUGAAG
Molecule: ribosomal RNA, 1734 nt
Filed under: Salmonella enterica
Lineage: Bacteria; Pseudomonadati; Pseudomonadota; Gammaproteobacteria; Enterobacterales; Enterobacteriaceae
Also listed under: 2 other names
Description: partial 23S ribosomal RNA
Rfam family: Bacterial large subunit ribosomal RNA
Source: RNAcentral